CGUGAAAUUGUUGAAAGGGAAGCGCUUGCCAUCAGAACCGGCGCCGGUCGAUCAACGUUCCUUCUGGUUCGUGCACUCGGCCGGCUGCCGUGCCAGCAUCGGUUGUCGCGGCGGGAGAAAGGCGGCGGGAAUGUGGCUCUCUUCGGGGAGUGUUAUAGCCCGUCGUGUCAUACCGCCAGCGG
Molecule: ribosomal RNA, 182 nt
Filed under: Orbiliaceae sp.
Lineage: Eukaryota; Fungi; Ascomycota; Orbiliomycetes; Orbiliales; Orbiliaceae
Description: partial large subunit ribosomal RNA
Source: RNAcentral